GGGUCGUUAGCUCAGUUGGUAGAGCAGAUGACUUUUAAUCAAUUGGUCGCAGGUUCGAAUCCUGCACGACCCACCA
This 76-nucleotide transfer RNA is filed under the name Escherichia coli. Its description in RNAcentral is "tRNA-Lys". It matches the Rfam family "tRNA". From Rfam's summary of the family: Transfer RNA (tRNA) molecules are approximately 80 nucleotides in length. RNAcentral also lists the same sequence under 3 other names. Lineage: Bacteria; Pseudomonadati; Pseudomonadota; Gammaproteobacteria; Enterobacterales; Enterobacteriaceae. The record is from RNAcentral.